This is a non-coding RNA of Gossypium hirsutum (cotton), 123 nucleotides long. Lineage: Eukaryota; Viridiplantae; Streptophyta; Magnoliopsida; Malvales; Malvaceae. The record is from Rfam.
AAUAAGAGAAUGAUAGAUCAGAUUUCCCCCCCUGAUUUUCAGUCUUUUCCUUCUGAAAAAAUUUAAAUCUAACUAAAAAUGCUAAAAAUCAAGAUAAAAAAACUGAUUUGUCAUUCUCCUAUU